AAUAUUGGACAAUGGGCGCAAGCCUGAUCCAGCCAUGCCGCGUGAGUGAUGAAGGCCUUAGGGUUGUAAAGCUCUUUCAGCGGGGAAGAUAAUGACGGUACCCGCAGAAGAAGCCCCGGCUAACUUCGUGCCAGCAGCCGCGGUAAUACGAAGGGGGCAAGCGUUGUUCGGAAUUACUGGGCGUGAAGGGAGCGUAGGCGGACUGUUAAGUCAGGGGUGAAAUCCCGGGGCUCAACCCCGGAACGGCCUUUGAUACUGAUGGUCUCGAGUAUGGAAGAGGUUGGUGGAACUGAGAGUGUAGAGGUGAGAUUCGUAGAUAGUCGCAAGAACGCCAGUGGCGAAGGCAGCCAACUGGUCCAUUACUGACGCUGAGGUGCGAAAGCGUGGGGAGCAAACAGG
RNAcentral lists this ribosomal RNA (399 nucleotides) under uncultured bacterium. RNAcentral's name for it is "partial 16S ribosomal RNA". It matches the Rfam family "Bacterial small subunit ribosomal RNA", at positions 360 to 776 of the family's 1533-position model. The record is from RNAcentral.